This 465-nucleotide ribosomal RNA is filed under the name Vreelandella stevensii. RNAcentral's name for it is "partial 16S ribosomal RNA". It matches the Rfam family "Bacterial small subunit ribosomal RNA", at positions 338 to 795 of the family's 1533-position model. The record is from RNAcentral. Lineage: Bacteria; Pseudomonadati; Pseudomonadota; Gammaproteobacteria; Oceanospirillales; Halomonadaceae.
CCUACGGGGGGCUGCAGUGGGGAAUAUUGGACAAUGGGGGGAACCCUGAUCCAGCCAUGCCGCGUGUGUGAAGAAGGCCCUCGGGUUGUAAAGCACUUUCAGUGAGGAAGAACGCCUGGUGGUUAAUACCCAUCAGGAAAGACAUCACUCACAGAAGAAGCACCGGCUAACUCCGUGCCAGCAGCCGCGGUAAUACGGAGGGUGCGAGCGUUAAUCGGAAUUACUGGGCGUAAAGCGCGCGUAGGUGGCUUGAUAAGCCGGGUGUGAAAGCCCCGGGCUCAACCUGGGAACGGCAUCCGGAACUGUCAAGCUAGAGUGCAGGAGAGGAAGGUUGAAUUCCCGGUGUAGCGGUGAAAUGCGUAGAGAUCGGGAGGAAUACCAGUGGCGAAGGCGGCCUUCUGGACUGACACUGACACUGAGGUGCGAAAGCGUGGGUAGCAAACAGGAUUAGAUACCCCAGUAGUC